AGCGUCACAAGACGAGAAGCUAUCGGGCUAUCGGUUUGCAGGUAGUAUAUAAAUCGGAACCAGCCGGAUCGGACAAUUAUAUCUUAUAGCUCUCAUAGGAACUAUCGAGGAAAAAAUUAAAAAAAAAGUAUAUCUUUGGUGUUUUUUACCUCUAUACCUUUCUAAGCUUAGAUAUAACAUUUUUAAAUUAGUUCUGAAUUUCGAAUUAAAUUUUAUCAAAAUCGGACGACUAUAUCAUAUA
Drosophila biarmipes is the source of this 241-nucleotide long non-coding RNA. RefSeq lists it as uncharacterized. Lineage: Eukaryota; Metazoa; Arthropoda; Insecta; Diptera; Drosophilidae. The record is from RefSeq and is a predicted model, not a curated record. The transcript has 2 exons.